RNAcentral lists this ribosomal RNA (638 nucleotides) under uncultured bacterium. RNAcentral describes it as "bacterial SSU rRNA". It matches the Rfam family "Bacterial small subunit ribosomal RNA", at positions 74 to 725 of the family's 1533-position model. The record is from RNAcentral.
UUCGGACAAUGGAUGUAGAGGAAAGUGGCGGACGGGUGAGUAACGCGUGAGGAACCUGCCUUGAAGAGGGGGACAACAGUUGGAAACGACUGCUAAUACCGCAUGACGCAUAGGGGUCGCAUGAUCUUUAUGCCAAAGAUUUAUCGCUUCAAGAUGGCCUCGCGUCUGAUUAGCUAGUUGGCGGGGUAACGGCCCACCAAGGCGACGAUCAGUAGCCGGACUGAGAGGUUGAACGGCCACAUUGGGACUGAGAUACGGCCCAGACUCCUACGGGAGGCAGCAGUGGGGAAUAUUGGGCAAUGGGCGCAAGCCUGACCCAGCAACGCCGCGUGAAGGAAGAAGGCUUUCGGGUUGUAAACUUCUUUUAAGAGGGAAGAGGAGAAGACGGUACCUCUAGAAUAAGCCACGGCUAACUACGUGCCAGCAGCCGCGGUAAUACGUAGGAGGCAAGCGUUGUCCGGAUUUACUGGGUGUAAAGGGCGUGCAGCCGGGUCUGCAAGUCAGAUGUGAAAUCCAUGGGCUCAACCCAUGAACUGCAUUUGAAACUGUAGAUCUUGAGUGUCGGAGGGGCAAUCGGAAUUCCUAGUGUAGCGGUGAAAUGCGUAGAUAUUAGGAGGAACACCAGUGGCGAAGGCGGA